This 425-nucleotide ribosomal RNA is filed under the name uncultured bacterium. RNAcentral describes it as "partial 16S ribosomal RNA". It matches the Rfam family "Bacterial small subunit ribosomal RNA", at positions 354 to 796 of the family's 1533-position model. The record is from RNAcentral.
GUGGGGAAUCUUGCGCAAUGGGCGAAAGCCUGACGCAGCCAUGCCGCGUGAAUGAUGAAGGUCUUAGGAUUGUAAAAUUCUUUCACCGGGGACGAUAAUGACGGUACCCGGAGAAGAAGCUCCGGCUAACUUCGUGCCAGCAGCCGCGGUAAUACGAAGGGGGCUAGCGUUGCUCGGAAUUACUGGGCGUAAAGGGCGCGUAGGCGGACAGCUUAGUCAGAGGUGAAAGCCCAGGGCUCAACCUUGGAAUUGCCUUUGAUACUGGCUGUCUUGAGUUUGGGAGAGGUGAGUGGAACUCCGAGUGUAGAGGUGAAAUUCGUAGAUAUUCGGAAGAACACCAGUGGCGAAGGCGACUCACUGGCCCAAUACUGACGCUGAGGUGCGAAAGCGUGGGGAGCAAACAGGAUUAGAUACCCGAGUAGUCC